AGCUCCUGCUCACUCCCAACAGGAGCUCCGAUAUACAAGCCCAGCAGAUUUCCAGCUCUGCCAAGUGGAACAAAGCAGGAGCCCUCUUCGGACUCCUAAGAGCAGCCACGGGAAGCCUCACCAGCUCCACAGUUCUGCAGAUGGUUCCACAGACGAGAGUCCUGGGCUCAGAGCCGAGAUGAGCAGAACCUGCUGCAGCAGAAGAGGACCCUGUUGCUGAGGGCAUCAGGCAGACUGCAGAAAGGUCAUGGGCUUUGAAAGAGGCAAGAUCACCACAUCUGGUUCCAGAGUUCCUUAACCCUCUUCUUCCCAGAAAAUUGGUGUCCAUGGUAGUGGCCUUCUUUGGAUGGUCCUUCCCAGAAGGAACUGAAAUUUCCUAGGAGUUUCUUGGCCUGAG
This 397-nucleotide long non-coding RNA is filed under the name Rattus norvegicus (Norway rat). Its description in RNAcentral is "long non-coding RNA NONRATT021371". The record is from RNAcentral. Lineage: Eukaryota; Metazoa; Chordata; Mammalia; Rodentia; Muridae.